Molecule: long non-coding RNA, 3285 nt
Filed under: Malus domestica (apple)
Lineage: Eukaryota; Viridiplantae; Streptophyta; Magnoliopsida; Rosales; Rosaceae
Description: long non-coding RNA (MDOM_LNC001811)
Source: RNAcentral
GUCGCUGCAGGCGACGUUUCCAAGGUCGGGACAAGGUGCUUCAAACGCACCUUGGUGUCCAAUGCUUGCGGGUGUGAAAAACCAUAGUGGAUUUCGAAUCGAAAUCGCAGAAAACCUAAUGAAAUUUAAACUGAAAUUUCAUACAAAUUAGAUGAAAUUCUUCAGGAAUUUCAGUGAGAUUGGAUUAAAGAUCAUGAUUCCAUAUCGGAUUGAUGCAGAAAAUCACACAGCAAAGCCAUGGUGUCGCUUCAAGCGAUGUGGAUUUUUCUGGGUUUGGGACGCCAUAGGUGUCGGGUUUCCAACGGGGUCACGGGUUCGGGAGCCCUUAUGGGGACUCGGUGUGUGACUCACAGUGUGAAGGUGGUCUGCAGGCCAUCCUAUGAUGGUGGUGGACGCCGUGGUUGGCGUCGGGUUGUCCUGGGUUUCAACCUGGGUCUCGGCGUUUGCGGUUAGGAUGCAGGCUGCAGGCCUGGUGGCUUACGGCCUUGCAUGGUGCAAAGCACGAGUUCGAACAGAACCCCUAGUUCCCCAAUUCCAAUAUUUUUCCAAUUCAAUUAUAUACAUAUAUAAUUCAAUGAAUCACAUAUUUACUUUGAUGCAUAUGCAAAAUAAUAUUUUCAAUGCAUGUACAUAUGUAAGAUUCAAUUCAUGGCAAAUAUCAAAUUCACAUAAUUGUAGCAAUUUUGGUGAUGAAGCAUACACAAUUUAUGUAGAAUCUAAAAUACAUUAAACGUAAAGUUGGGUCAUGCAUCAUGGUGAAUGUUCAUGCUAUCAGGGCUUACAACAUAUCGAGUUAAAAACCGUUGUUUGGAAAGAACCUGAUUGCGUGUUGAUAUGGAUGAACUGGUUUGAUGCAGAAAAAAAAUCUCCAACGUCAUAUUCCUAAGCGCAGCGGUAGGAGCGUGCUGUGGUCUAUUUUUAUCUGACAAAAUAGAGAGGGCCGGCGGCAGUGGGAGAGAGAAGAGAUAUGUGUGUUUGUAGAAUUGUAGGGGAAUGUGUGUGUUGUUAUCCCUCCUACAUUGUGCCUUUAUUUAUAGUAGUAAAGGGAAAGAAGAUAUUCCUUCUCCUCCAAGUAAUACAAGUUGUAAUAGGAAAGGAUAACUAGAAUCAAAUCUAAUCUAGGAUUUACACAAUCAUACUUAUUCUAGGAAUGUUUACAACAAUAUUAAGUAUUUAAUUAAAAAUAAUAGAGUGUAGAGAAUAAGUUGGGUGUAGAAAGAAGUUAUCUGGGUUCAAAUAAAACUUCCCCUUCUUUUAACCUGUAGCAUAUUCGAUUCGAUGGCUACUCAAAUAGAUACCAUCUCCAAAUUUUGGAAUACUAAUAGAUGAAGUGGGUAAAGAAAAUGUUCUAGAUGGAAACAAUGAUGAUAAAACGAGUAUAUAGUCUCCAAAGGGAAAAAAACUUGUGUAGGGUUAACUUGUUACUGGAUUAUGCUAAGGUGCACUACAAUUCACUUAAAAUUUGACAAGUGUGAAUUUUUAAGUAUGAUUUCUUAUUUAUAAUUUAAAUUAAAAAAUUUCAGAAGAAACACAUCUCUAUAUACUAAAACCCAACCAGAUGGUACUGUGGAUGACCAGUGGGUGGACGAAUUUGCCCCUGGAUUUUUCCUCCGGUUGUUCUUCUCUUUGAUUUUUAGGGCAGCCAAAUGCCACUUUUGCCCAUUGCUUCCACGCGUCUGUCAUCGAUGGAUCUUCUAUUUGGACUGUCUUCUCCAUUUUUCUUUUGCUUUCCGUUGCUUUCUCACAUAUUUCUCACAGAUCUCUCAUCUGUUGUUCUCGGGCUAACUAAAUUUUGCCUUCGAUUCCAACGGGUGCCAUCCUCCUUUUCCAUGUCUCUGAGUCUAUUCACCUGAAAGAAAACCCGGAUCCAUUGCUUCCUCUGAAAUCAAACCCUAAUUUUGCCCCUAAACGAAUUGAAACGCAGUCAAACUCAAUUUCUAAUUCGAGUUGCGCCGAUUCUAGGGAUCUAAUCUGGUGUUUCCAGGUGUGUUUUUCAUGUUUAUGAGUGUGUAUGAUUUGGGUUGGUAAAUUUCCUUAUCUGUCAACUUCUAUCUGUUUACUUCAACAUAUUUAGUUGGGAAAUUUAAAUAUUUAACUGGAUAAUUGGAAAAUUUGGGUUUCUUUGAACUUUGUAGUCUCAAUAGUGUUUUGGGUUUAAGUUUUGUUAAUUGGUUAGCGAAAAUGGGGGACCAGUUCUUCAAAGGCUUCGUUGAAUUGGUGUUGUGAUAUAUAGUAUAGGGCAAUCAGGAUGUAUCCGUUUCUGAGUAAUCAGGGUGUAUCGGUUUCUGUGUAAUCAUGGUUUCUGGGUGCUGUGAUACAUAUUUGUGCUAUUCGGCUUUUUUGGGUUUAAUUUAGUUGUUGGUGAUUGUCGAUGCGUUGCAAAACUUCUCAAACCUCUCCCAAAUCAUGCACGUUACUACAAUAACUUUACUAAUGUUUACCCACCAAUUCUUACUAAUGUUUUUUUUUAUCUUUUUCCUCUGUUGACACAAUCUCCUACCAACAUCAAACAAGCACCAGUCCUGCAAAGAUCAACUUAUUGCUCUGUUUAUCAAGCUUGGUAUGAACAUCUCUCCAUUUUUUGCUAUUGUUAGAUACACACAUAUGGUUCAACACAGACAAAACAGUUUUUUAGUAAAAUACUUUACAUUACGUAAAAUUAAGAUACAAAUUAGUAACCACAAAAUGCAAACAGAACGCACAUUGCAUAAUGAAUAAGCUUUUGUGCAAAAACUUAAUGUGCUCACCUUCCUUUUUCCAAUUCUCUUUCUCUAUUGUUUUUUUAUCGUGUAAUUACGCUAUCAACUAAUUACAAAUGUUAAUAUGAUUUUUCCAAUGUCUUGGCAGAAAUUAUGUCAUUGUUGAUAUUGCAAAUAUUAAAUUUGUACAAAUUAAAAGGUAUGUUACCACUCUCCUUAAUCUACAUAUAUGCAAUGUGCAAAAUUACAUUUGUUCUCAAGAAUGAACCUGUUUUGUUCAAUCCUUCUAUUAUACUCCAAUACAAAUUAACCUAAUUCAUCCUGGGGCUAUAUAAAUUAGGUUACUAAUUUGUUUAUGCAUUUCUUUGUUGAUUGUUUCAUUUUUCACCAAUUUUCCAUCCGUGCCAAGUAGGUUUUUGUCAAGAGUUACUAUGAUCAACUUCCUUUUUACAAUUUCUGUCUUCUGUCAUUUUCUAUUAUGUAAUUAAAAUGUCAUGUCCUUGAUAGGAGAAUAUUUAUACGACUUAGUUAGCUUGUUUUCUUGCUUUUAAUUAGCUAAACUAUGAUAAUUAUAGUGUUUAAAGUU